AGUGAACGCUGGCGGUAGGCCUAACACAUGCAAGUCGAACGGCAGCACAGUAAGAGCUUGCUCUUACGGGUGGCGAGUGGCGGACGGGUGAGGAAUACAUCGGAAUCUACUUUUUCGUGGGGGAUAACGUAGGGAAACUUACGCUAAUACCGCAUACGACCUACGGGUGAAAGCAGGGGAUCUUCGGCCCUCGCGCGAUUGAAUGACCCGAUGUCGGAUUAGCUAGUUGGCGGGGUAAAGGCCCACCAAGGCGACGAUCCGUAGCUGGUCUGAGAGGAUGAUCAGCCACACUGGAACUGAGACACGGUCCAGACUCCUACGGGAGGCAGCAGUGGGGAAUAUUGGACAAUGGGCGCAAGCCUGAUCCAGCCAUACCGCGUGGGUGAAGAAGGCCUUCGGGUUGUAAAGCCCUUUUGUUGGGAAAGAAAAGCAGCAGGUUAAUACCCCGCUGUUCUGACGGUACCCAAAGAAUAAGCACCGGCUAACUUCGUG
This 492-nucleotide ribosomal RNA is filed under the name uncultured bacterium. RNAcentral's name for it is "partial 16S ribosomal RNA". It matches the Rfam family "Bacterial small subunit ribosomal RNA", at positions 29 to 507 of the family's 1533-position model. The record is from RNAcentral.